Molecule: ribosomal RNA, 253 nt
Filed under: uncultured bacterium
Lineage: Bacteria
Description: partial 16S ribosomal RNA
Rfam family: Bacterial small subunit ribosomal RNA
Source: RNAcentral
UACGGAGGGGGCUAGCGUUGUUCGGAAUUACUGGGCGUAAAGCGCGCGUAGGCGGAUCUUUAAGUCAGGGGUGAAAUCCCGGGGCUCAACCUCGGAACUGCCCUUGAUACUGGAGAUCUUGAGUCCGGAAGAGGUUAGUGGAAUUCCAAGUGUAGAGGUGAAAUUCGUAGGUAUUUGGAAGAACACCAGUGGCGAAGGCGGCUAACUGGUCCGGUACUGACGCUGGGGUGCGAAAGCGUGGGGAGCAAACAGG